GGGAAGCCGGUGCGAAUCCGGCGCUGACCCGCAACCGUGAAGGUGCUCGUGUGCGUGUACCUGCGUCCCCCGGGGCGUGUGUGCCGCCGCGCGGGCCCUGAGCCGGAGCGCC
RNAcentral lists this non-coding RNA (112 nucleotides) under Streptomycetaceae bacterium. The record is from RNAcentral. Lineage: Bacteria; Bacillati; Actinomycetota; Actinomycetes; Kitasatosporales; Streptomycetaceae.